Non-coding RNA from Ciona savignyi (Pacific transparent sea squirt), 397 nucleotides. The record is from Rfam. NCBI's taxonomy places the organism in Eukaryota, Metazoa, Chordata, Ascidiacea, Phlebobranchia, Cionidae.
GUUGUUGCCACAGUAAUCCUGCUCAGUACGAGAGGAACCGCAGAUUCAGACAUUUGGUUCAUGUGCUUGGCUGAUAAGCCAAUGGUGCGAAGCUACCAUCUGAGGGAUUAUGACUGAACGCCUCUAAGUCAGAAUCCCGCCUGGAAAGCGACGAUGCAUUCGUGCCUCGGCCUCGAGAGGCGUAGCUAGACGGCCGUGUGGCCGUGGAAAGAGCCCGAUUCCGACCCGAGAGGCCGCGGCAAGAGGCGGCCUCGAAGUCGGUGGAUCCUCCUGCUCGAAAGGCGGGGUGCUAAACCAUUCGCAGACGACCUAGUUGAAGAUCGGGGUGUCGUGAUCACUAGAGCAGUACAUCUCACUGCGAUUUGUUGAGAGUAAGCCUCAAGAUCUGUCGGUUUGU